This 2033-nucleotide long non-coding RNA is filed under the name Anneissia japonica. Its description in RNAcentral is "uncharacterized LOC117114461". Lineage: Eukaryota; Metazoa; Echinodermata; Crinoidea; Comatulida; Comatulidae. The record is from RNAcentral.
AUCUGGAGAAAAAGCCGUCGCCUAAGAAAGUUUCCAAGAUAUUGUCUGCAGCACCUACUAGUGAAAGACAAAAUGAAUGUUUUGAUCAUUUGAAGAGAUUUGUGAAGUCCCUAGACGACAACACUUUAGGUGUUUUUCUGCAGUUUGUUACUGGGAGUAACUACCUCACUGUUGACAGUAUCAAAGUGGAUUUUUGUAAGCUAGAAGGGGCUGCAAGAAGACCAUUAGCACACACGUGUGGAUGUGUUUUAAUUAUUCCAGAGACAUACCAGGGAUAUAAUGAAUUAUCUGAAGAGUUUAGCAGUGUUUUAAGGCACAGUGCUUCUUGGGAGUUUGGAAUUGUUUGAGCUGUUGUAAUGCCUGGUUCCUUUCAAUGUUAAUUUUAAUAUAGUAUUACACCUCAGCUACUACAGGUUUUAGUGAAAUUGGGUUGUUGGGCUUCCUGUGCUUGGGCAGGAUUUGGGUGAAAAUACUUGCAACAAAGAUUAAGACAAUGCUUGUUACAUUGGUCAAUUCUUUGGCAACCUGUCUUUCAACUGGCAUUGCAUGACAAUUUUUAGGGAAAUAGCAACAUCUUUUAAAUUGAUGUCUAGAUGCUGCAAUCAGUUUCAAAUGUUAUGUGAAACUCUAGUGAUCACACUUCAUGGAUAAUAAUGUGAAUUUUAAAAAAAAAUCAUUAAUUAGCGUCAAGCAUAGGUACAACCUGCCAUAGUGUUUUUAAUUAGUUCUUAGUUUUGUACUUACAGCAGCACUUUCAUGUUGGAUGUUUUUGAUGAAAAACUUUUAGAAUUUUAACAUAACAUUGUUACAGUUUAUAAGGAUAUUAUACCUAUGUUCUCUUAUUUUUUAUAUUGUAAUUGCAACAAGUUACAGCCACAAACAUUAAGGCAGUGCUUCUUAAACUGUCUUUUAACUGGCAUUGCAUGACAAGUUGCAGGGAAAUUGCACAGCAUUGCACUGAGGAACAUAUUUAGAUUGGUUUCUAGGUGCUGUAGUGUAGUUUCAAAUGAGACCUGAAGCUUUAUAGAUCACACUUCAAGAAUAAUGAUAGUGUGACUUAAAAAUCAUUAAUUAUUAAUUACUGUCGCCAACCAUUGGAAAAACAUAUCCCACUAGUGUUUUAAAUCAGUUCUUAGUUUUGUACUUAGAGAAAAAAAAAAUUAUAAUGUUGGAUAUUUAAAAAUGUUUUUGAAGAAAAACUAAUUUAGAAUUUUAACACGCAUUGUUACAGUUUUACAUGCAUAUAAUGUUAUAGGACUACCAUGCAAGGCCUAAAUGCUUUCUACAGUAUGUGCCAAUUAUCUUAAGGAUAAUAAUAAUGUGAAUUAAAAAUCAUUAAUGCUGCCACAAACACUGGAAAAACAUGCCCCACUAGUGUUUUAAAUCAGUUCUUAGUUUUGUACUUGGGGAAAAAAUGUUAUAAUGUUUGCUGUUGGAUGUUUAAAAAUAUUUUUGAAGAAAAACUUUUAUUUUAGAUUUAGAACUUUAACACAGCAAUGUUGCAGUUUUACAUGCAUAUAAUGUUAUAGGACUACCAUAUAGGCCUAAAUGCUUUCCAUGUGCCAAUUCUCUCAAGGAUAAUAAUAAUGUGAAUUAAAAAUCAUUAAUUACUGUCACAAACUUUCGAAAAACAUGUCCCACUAGAGUUUUAAAUCAGCUCUUAAUUUUGUACUUAGAGAAAAAAAUAUAUAAUGUUUAAUGUUGGAUGUUUAAAAAUGUUUUUGAAAAACUUAUUUUAAAAUUUUUUACACAGCGUUGUUACAGUUUUACAUGCAUAUAAUGUUAUAGGACUACCAUAUACAGUAUUGUGCAAGGCCUAUAUUCUUUCUAUGUGCCAAUUCUUAAUUCAAUUUCUUGUCAAAGAUUACAUUCAUCUAAGAUUGCCUAUAGGACAAUCUAAAUUCAACCAUACUAUUAUACAGUAUUUGAUUGAUAUGUAAUGUGGAUUAGGCCUAACAGUUAAAAAGGAUUUGAUUGUUACAGUUUCUACUAGUUCUGUAGAUAUUUUGAAUAAACAGUGCUUUGUCUUAAAA